UACGAAGGUCCCAAGCGUUAUCCGGAUUUAUUGGGUUUAAAGGGUGCGUAGGCGGGCUGUUAAGUCAGUGGUGAAAGCUCCAUGCCUAACAUGGAAAAUGCCAUUGAUACUGACGGUCUUGAGUACAUUUGAAGUGGGCGGAAUGUGUCAUGUAGCGGUGAGAUGCUUAGAUAUGACACAGAACACCGAUUGCGUAGGCAGCUCACUAAACUGUAACUGACGCUGAGGCACGAAAGCGUGGGGAGCAAACAGG
Molecule: ribosomal RNA, 253 nt
Filed under: uncultured bacterium
Lineage: Bacteria
Description: partial 16S ribosomal RNA
Rfam family: Bacterial small subunit ribosomal RNA
Source: RNAcentral